Molecule: ribosomal RNA, 343 nt
Filed under: Enterococcus faecalis
Lineage: Bacteria; Bacillati; Bacillota; Bacilli; Lactobacillales; Enterococcaceae
Description: partial 23S ribosomal RNA
Rfam family: Bacterial large subunit ribosomal RNA
Source: RNAcentral
GAGCCGAUGAAGGACGGGACGAACACCGAUAUGCUUCGGGGAGCUGUAAGCAAGCUUUGAUCCGGAGAUUUCCGAAUGGGGAAACCCACCACUCGUAAUGGAGUGGUAUCCAUAUCUGAAUUCAUAGGAUAUGAGAAGGCAGACCCGGGGAACUGAAACAUCUAAGUACCCGGAGGAAGAGAAAGCAAAUGCGAUUCCCUGAGUAGCGGCGAGCGAAACGGGAUUAGCCCAAACCAAGAGGCUUGCCUCUUGGGGUUGUAGGACACUCUGUACGGAGUUACAAAGGAACGAGGUAGAUGAAGAGGUCUGGAAAGGCCCGCCAUAGGAGGUAACAGCCCUGUAG